UGGGGAAUAUUGGACAAUGGGCGAAAGCCUGAUCCAGCCAUGCCGCGUGUGUGAAGAAGGUCUUCGGAUUGUAAAGCACUUUAAGUUGGGAGGAAGGGCAGUAAGCGAAUACCUUGCUGUUUUGACGUUACCGACAGAAUAAGCACCGGCUAACUCUGUGCCAGCAGCCGCGGUAAUACAGAGGGUGCAAGCGUUAAUCGGAAUUACUGGGCGUAAAGCGCGCGUAGGUGGUUCGUUAAGUUGAAUGUGAAAGCCCCGGGCUCAACCUGGGAACUGCAUCCAAAACAGGCGAGCUAGAGUAGGGCAGAGGGUGGUGGAAUUUCCUGUGUAGCGGUGAAAUGCGUAGAUAUAGGAAGGAACACCAGUGGCGAAGGCGACCACCUGGGCUCAUACUGACACUGGGGUGCGAAAGCGUGGGGAGCAAACAGG
This 429-nucleotide ribosomal RNA is filed under the name Pseudomonadota bacterium. RNAcentral describes it as "Proteobacteria bacterium partial 16S ribosomal RNA". It matches the Rfam family "Bacterial small subunit ribosomal RNA", at positions 355 to 776 of the family's 1533-position model. Lineage: Bacteria; Pseudomonadati; Pseudomonadota. The record is from RNAcentral.